RNAcentral lists this ribosomal RNA (253 nucleotides) under uncultured bacterium. RNAcentral's name for it is "partial 16S ribosomal RNA". It matches the Rfam family "Bacterial small subunit ribosomal RNA", at positions 524 to 776 of the family's 1533-position model. The record is from RNAcentral.
UACGUAGGGUGGAGACGUUAAUCGGAAUUACUGGGCGUAAAGCGUGCGCAGGCGGUUCGUUAAGUCAGAUGUGAAAGCCCCGGGCUCAACCUGGGAACUGCAUUUGAAACUGGCGGGCUUGAGUGCGGCAGAGGGGGGUGGAAUUCCGCGUGUAGCAGUGAAAUGCGUAGAGAUGCGGAGGAACACCGAUGGCGAAGGCAGCCCCCUGGGCCGACACUGACGCUCAGGCACGAAAGCGUGGGGAGCAAACAGG